AAAAAAUAUACUUUAGAUAUAGGACGCAACAGUGACUGCCCACUUUUUGAAAGGCUCUGGUUUCGGAAGUGAGUUACCCAUUCAUUUACUCCAUUGCCAUUUCAUAAAAUCCUUAUACAAAGAAUUUAAACUUGUAACCAAUCCAAUAAACCAUGAGAUGAAUUGUUACCAUAAAACAUUUUAUUUGGCGCAAAAAAAAGGAAAAUGGGUAAAAAGGUUAAAGUGUACAUAACUAUUUUAACAGCGAAGGAACUACUGGUUCCAUAAACCUUUUGAAUGCCUUUCCGACUACUUCCAACUGACAGUUUAGCUACUUCUUGAAUUCAACCUUCAUCAUCAUCACUAUAGUGUUUAUAUUGUUGAUAAGAGUCUUGUAAUGUAUUGCAGCUUGUGUUUUGUGUGCGUAUAUAGUGUAUAACCACCGUAGAGUUAAGUCGUAGCGUUCCAGUUGCAACCUCCGACUCGUAGGUCUGUAAAUCUGAGUUCCAAGGUAUAAUGGAACGCAGCAUCACGAGCUGACAUGAAGUUUGUGGGUGUAGUUAGCGUUUACAUGUUUACAGCGAGCUCCACCAAUCGGAGACGUCAAUGUUACAACUUAGGUUAGUGGUUAGUGUAGUAUUUCUCAAUGACUUUGCGAAUAAAACUUUUUUACAACGUUUAACAACGUCGUAGCUCGUGGUAAGUCUACAUUGGAUUGUUCCAACAUCAUGGCUAACAAUUAAAAUGUUAAUGGAGAAUAUGAAUGGGAUUUUCACUUCCGGAACCUCACUUUUUCUAUUCUCUGCCUCAUUUCAGUCAUUUCAGAGUUUGGCUCAGGUGAUCUUGUGUAAAUUAUCAAACAGGCUUUUAUGUCUCUCUUCAUCACCACAGCUCAUUCAUUUGUGCAGCGUCUCAGGCUGCAGGAUCACUCCAGCAGCAGGAGACAGAAAGUGGCUCAGUCCAUCAGCAGGGUCCAGCAGAUGAAGAAAGGUUCCUCUGGUUCUCCCCCCAGGUGUUCACCAACCCUGAACCAGGUGAAUCCAGACAGGAGGAGGUUAAGGCGAGGGGAGACGGUGGAGGUCAGCAGCCCCUCAGGAAGCCUUCACGCUGGCCCCCGGCGAGGAGAGCGGCCCCUGGGACGAUGUCACACCCUGGACUCUGGAGAACGCUCGCCAUGGCGGCUGGAGUCUACACUGCCCUGCAACACAACUGAAUGCAAUCCGGAAGAGAGCGGUCAGACUGUUUACACACACACACACAAAACAGCUGACGUCACUCUGGCAGCAGGUCUUCACACGUCCAGAGAUACAGACGAAACACACUCCACUGAUGUCUCCAGCUAUAGCACAGGUAGCGAGACCUCACCAUCUCCGCCAUCUAACAUGUCGUCACAUGAUGAUUAUUUGUUUGACGCCCCUCCCACACACAUCCUAGCUAAACCUUCUGCUUCACACGAGUCGGACGAGCCGUCGCACGUCAACAGCCAAAGCCUCUGUCCUGUUACCGGAACAUUAGCGGAGCCAUCUGAUGAUCACACUCGGCCUUGUGUCGACGCUGAGGCCUCACAGUCAGAAGGAAAAGAUGGGAACUCCAACCCCACCCACCCCGCUGACCUCCACCCCCCCGUCCAGAAGUCAAAUGGAUUCAACUAGCUGCUGGUUGUAGCUAAAAACUGUCCACAAUUUUCACUUCACAGAAACACACAUACAUUGUAAUAGGUUAAAGGGUCAGUUCACUCAUAUUACAAAAAAACAUAUGCUCUUCCAUACUGUACCUGUAGUUGGAUUUAGUCAUGCAAGUUGGAUUUAUAUGUCCUGGUCGCGUAUGUCUGCCUCCACUUCCGUACAGUAGAGAUUAAUUAAGUUGCGUUUGUAUAGUUAACAACAUGAGACACUAGAAUCAGUCUCUUCUUUAAAUGCAUUGAGACUCGAAAGUAGCAUAGUGGUAAAUUAACAAUUAAUUCCAGUUUAUCAGACACAACAACACUGCACAGGCGUUCAUAUCAUUAUGGACAGGUUAUAAAGAGUCAUCACAGCUGCAAUUAUUUUAUCCCCCGUCUCCACCGUGGCGAUGAAAACAUAUCUGAAUUGUCCACUUGCACAUACUUAACUGUGUUAUUAAAAAGUAACCGCAAAACUGUUUGCAGAAAGGGAUGUUGUUUCCAUGUUUCCUUUCCCCUCUGCUGUGCCAAGCUGGAGGCAGAAAUCUCAGAGACAAUGAUUGAACAAAAAUAUAAUUGUAUCUCCAUAGAAAGUAAAGAGAUUGGAAUAACUAACCCUUUAAAGUCAAAAUUAAAUGUGAAAGCGGCGGCGUCGUGUGUCUGACACAUCUCUGACAGCGCACACACAAAUCCCCAGGUUUUUUCCCUGUUGUUGUUGUUGUUGAUGUUUUUAUGCUCAGUCUUAGCGGAGAGACUUGAUUCAGAGAGAUUUGAAGUAGCUGUUGUGACAUAAAUGGCAGAAAAAUGUAUGCCAUAUUUGUUUUCUAACCACCCCCUCCCCCCGGAAAAAAAACCCAUAACGUUUUAGUAGUUCAUUUUGUUGAUAUGAAUAGAUGUACACCCAAAAAACUGCUUUAGACACUUGAAUCAAAUCAAACGGCCUAUUCCUUCCUAACCAACAUCCUGUUGACUAAAACUUUGUUUCUUUAUUUCAAAAACAUCAACAACAUAACUGAAUACACACAAAACAUGUUUAGGAACUGAGGUUGAUUCUGCUUGCGUAUCACAUCAUUUCAUUGUGACUUUAGCAGUGAUAUUAACAGACCUGAGGAUUUUUCCCACUGAAAACUGCUGUGUAGCAGCUCCUGUAUCUCCUCCUCCUCCCCCUCCUCCCCUUGAGUGGGAAGCACUUCUUCUAGCCUAAAGAAAAAGGGAUGCAAACUGCCGUUGUUUUAGUUUCAUACUGUAUCGAAUGUUGUUGCUUUAGCUUUUUUGAAGCCACUAGACUGUAACUCUGAUCUGAGAUUUUGUUUUUUACUUGAAUACUAGUUGUUUGUUAGAUUUCAGUGUAUCAAAAAUGGAUUUGAUUGUCAGGGAGGUUUGUCAUUUUCCCCUGUAUAACAUCUUACUUAUCCAUGUACUGUUUUAUUAGGAUACAUUUUAAUUUUAUUUAUGACCUUUGCUGUCAGGAAUGUGUGGUGUGUUCAGAGAGGUUUGACUUCUCCUGAAUGUUAGAAUGAGUUUCCUUACUGUCUAAGAGCAAGUUCAAAGGUCACACCACUGGUUCUGCAUAUUUCCCAUCCAUUAAUUACAAAUCUUUUAUUUUACAUCACUGCUGGUAAUUCAUGUCAUCAGAUUUUAGGUUUAUUUAAGCCACCUAAGUUUGUUUCCAUGAAAAUCAACUUGAAACUUGCUACUUUUUUCCAAGAGUUAAAUUUGAACUGAAUGGUAGUGUGUUUGGUUAAUAUACGUUUACUACACACUGUAUGUGUAUAUACUAUACAUAUAUAUAUUUGGUUCAUUUUAGGCAAAAUGUGAAAAGAAUACUCAACUAUAAUAAAAGACUGGUUAUGUUUCACACAUAAUACAAAGUGCUACACAGAGUAAAAAAAAAGAUGGAUGGAUCCAUGAUGAAACCUUAAAAUACAGCAACACUACGAUUACAAGGAUAAACAAGAUCAGCAUGACAUCACAAAAUAUAAGUACAGCACUUUAUUAUCCUCAAAGCUGCCAAUUGUGUUGCAUUCACCAACACUGAAAACAAACAAACAAAAACCGGCCCUGUAAAUGCAACAUGAAUGAAUGAAUAAAGUAAUUAUCUAUCUAUCUAACAAUGACUGAUGUUCAUGGUGAGAAACCACAUUCAGUGGCAAAGAAAACUUACAUUCAGCACCUUCAACAACACAAAUGUGUCAAAUAUUUUUGAUUCAACUUGAUGAAUACUACAUCAGCCCCCAGAUGGUGACAUAAAGCUGCAUGUUCUGCUCUAUUUGGCAAGUUCAUGCACAGAAACAUCAUCCGCUGGUAAAAAAGGACUUCUUUACAUUAGCGGAAAAACAACACUGUAGAAGUCGUAAUGAGAAGACAUGAGUAUUUUGAUUCAUAAAUGCUGUAAAUUUGGAAAUGUAAAUUCACCUCUGAGUAAUUUGGCAGCCACGAUGUACAUCACAAUGAUGUAAAACUGAUAAAAGUUUAGUUUUACGUGCAUGAAGAGCUCAGUAAUGUAAAUGUAAUGCAGAACAGUGACUGAAGAUUUCACAUCAUGAUAUGCUAUACAUACAAAAGUAUAUCUUCCAUAUAUCAUUCAGUUUUGGUGGUUUUACCCAUCUCAAGCAAGUAGAUUUAAAAAAAAAAAGAUGUACUGAAAUAAUUGAAACAAAUGGCUGCCGCGGGUAGAUAAAACUAAAAACGGAUGGUAUAAGUGUGAAAUGUAAUCAGUGGUGAUGUAAAAUUGAAUGUAGUUAAUGAGUCAAAUAAAACAUGCGAAACCAUCAGGUUGUUCCUAUAACAUCAGAAGAUAUUUAACCUUAUUUAAUACAAAUGUAUUACAGCAUAAUGAAGUCAUAAUGCAGUAAUGUAUAACUGUCAGUGUUACUGUUCACAUUAAUUUCACAUGGUUCACUUAUCUCACUGUAUGAUUGAUUGAAGACAGUUUGAGUUAGGGUGAAGCUCACUACUUAUACCUGAUACUCUGUGACUCUCCCUCCACCUGUCUGCGGUGUUUCGCCUGUUAAACAUGCAAACAGUGUCUUUGUGUUUCACAUGGAUGACGAGUCAAGUCUCUGUCAUUUUUCUAUCCGUUUUUCUAUCCAGGUUUGGUUUUUAAAGCUGAUGUGAAUGUGAAUGUGCCUUAUUUAAGUCACUCCCAAAUAACCAAUAAUAAACCUAUCAUUUGAACUAUGAUUUAGACUCUGUUUUAUCUGUGGUGGUGGUGGUGGGGGGGGUGCUGAAAAACUACAAUAGUACAAUAUAUUGGUGUAUUUAGACCAUAUUCUGUGGCAAUAAGUACACAAAAGGACAGAUAUAUAUUUUUGUGGGUAUUUAAAAAGUACAAUAAUUGAAAAUUCCACAGUUGCACAUUCCCAACAAUCACGUUUUCCUUUUACAAAACCACAAUGACACAUUUAAACACUGAGACUUCACAUAGCUGUGUUGCUGCAGCAUGGUUUUAUAGAAAAAUGUUACUACUUUAAUAUGAAAAUGGGCUGUUUUUGACAGGUUUGGCAAAAAGACAAAGUGAAGGGGCUCGAGAAAAGAGUGAGAUCCUAUUAACUCAAAUGUAUUCCAUUUCCUCUAAGCUGCAGAAUCAAGACUGACAGGUAUAAUUAAAGUUACUUUUUUUAGCAGCAAACUGAUGAAGAUAUGAAAAGAAAAUGUAUUUAAUUCUGUCAAAAGCUGAUUUAUCGGAGUAAUAUUUAACAUUUAGGUGAGAAUAAUAUAGUUUAUGUGGGAUCACCUUAUCUAAUGAUGAAAGAUAAAGUCUGAUCCAUUAUAUAGACAACUGAGACUGACAACAGUGUUUUUCUACUCAAACUCUAUCAUCAUACCACAUAAAAAAUAAACAGAUUAAAGAAAGUGCAUUAUUAGCCCAAGACUAAAUACAUUGUAUUUUUGUAUUAAAGUACAGUUUAUGCUGCCUUUGUUUAUGUAUAAAAUCAUAAAAUACAACACAGGGUUAAAUAUUAGAACACUGGUUUCCAAACAGUUUGACAUGACAAGUUACAAAAAGCAGGGAAAUAUUGUACUUUUUACGCCACCACAUUCAUCUGACAGAUACAGUUAAUAGGAGGUGGAAUGAUUGGUCGUUUGGUGGAUUAUUUGAUGCUGGUAAAUGAUCACUGCCAUUGAAGAAACAAAUGUUGAGUUCAGGGAUUUAACAGUUUAAGACCGAAAGAGGUAUAAAUAAAUAUUUCACACACAAAAAAACAAAAACAAAAAAGAUGAAGAAAUGUCUGAAAAAUCCAUCCAAACAUAUGUAUAUGUUUUUCUUUUCUUUUCCUCAUGUAAGAUUUAUCUGCUGAUCCCCUGGAGGGGCACAACACCUAGGUUGGAAAGCACUGGACUAAAACUACCUAACUAUAAAUAAAGUCUGCUACAACAGUAAAAUGCUGCUGACACAUUUAAAAAGUAAUUCGUCACUCACAGGACGUUGAGUAAAUUAAGUUAAUUAUUUGGGUUCAUCCAUUUUACCUCUAUAGUGCCAAAUCACAGCAUACAUUAUCUCAAGGCACUAGUGAGGUCAAGACGUCACAAUAUUAUAUAGAAAAAGGAGAGGUGGGUGGAAUGAGGGGGAGAGAAGAGGGAGACCAAGAGCAGUUGUGUAACCGUUGCAUUAAGCCUUAUCACAGUGUCAUUUUUUUAUAUAAUUUUUUAUGUGAUGUGUAUCAUUAUUUUUUGAAUUAUGUAUGCUACUUGUGAAAAAAAUAAGUGUGGAUUCAUAUACUGAUAAAUGUGAAUCUGCAGAGAUCUGAGGGUUUGCAUAUUUUACAUGGGGG
Molecule: long non-coding RNA, 6414 nt
Filed under: Scophthalmus maximus (turbot)
Lineage: Eukaryota; Metazoa; Chordata; Actinopteri; Pleuronectiformes; Scophthalmidae
Description: lncRNA (ENSSMAG00000021994.1)
Source: RNAcentral